This 361-nucleotide long non-coding RNA is filed under the name Panax ginseng (ginseng). Its description in RNAcentral is "long non-coding RNA (PGIN_LNC015979)". The record is from RNAcentral. Lineage: Eukaryota; Viridiplantae; Streptophyta; Magnoliopsida; Apiales; Araliaceae.
UGGAUUUGUAUUAGGAACAGAAAUAGUAGUGUUGGAAACUUUAGGCAAAAAGUAAUCUCCAACAUAUGAUCUGGAAUUUUUGUACUGUUAUAGCUUUUCAUCUUUAGCCUGUCAUUUCUUUCCGCUGAUUGAUCAGCGCCCAAAAACACAUCUUAAGCCGACAAAAAGAAAUGAAUGUAAAAGACGAUCCGUUACUUGUCCAGGAAUUAGCUCCACGCGGCUCCAUAUGACCAACUUGGUGCUCUGGUUGACAGGCAUCCGUUGGUGUAGCAGACGUUUAAGCUGGGUUGUUGCUGAACAUUGUAACGCACAAGUUCGCGAACAUUGACUCGUUGAGUUUGUUAUAUACAGUAUUUCCCCC